Molecule: small nucleolar RNA, 66 nt
Filed under: Peromyscus maniculatus bairdii (prairie deer mouse)
Lineage: Eukaryota; Metazoa; Chordata; Mammalia; Rodentia; Cricetidae
Also listed under: 1 other name
Description: Small nucleolar RNA SNORD109A (ENSPEMG00000030503.1)
Rfam family: Small nucleolar RNA SNORD109A
About the family: Humans have two copies of the SNORD109 gene, SNORD109A and SNORD109B.
Source: Rfam by way of RNAcentral
GUAUCAAUGACGAGAACAAUUGUCUGAGGAUGCAGAAUGACUCAUGUCAAUAGAAAUAUGGGGUCC